This 268-nucleotide ribosomal RNA is filed under the name uncultured bacterium. RNAcentral describes it as "partial small subunit ribosomal RNA". It matches the Rfam family "Bacterial small subunit ribosomal RNA", at positions 26 to 281 of the family's 1533-position model. The record is from RNAcentral.
AGAAUCAACGCUGGCGGCGUGCCUAACACAUGCAAGUCGAACGCGAAAGGGACUUCGGUCCUAAGUAGAGUGGCGAACGGGUGAGUAACACGUGGGUGACCUACCUUCGAAUGGGGGAUAACGUCCCGAAAGGGACGCUAAUACCGCAUAACAUCCUGUCCUUGAACGGAUGGUGAUCAAAGCCGGGGAUCGCAAGACCUGGCGUUUGAAGAGGGGCCCGCGUCCGAUUAGCUAGUUGGUGAGGUAAUGGCUCACCAAGGCGACGAUC